RNAcentral lists this ribosomal RNA (2904 nucleotides) under Klebsiella oxytoca. RNAcentral describes it as "bacterial LSU rRNA". It matches the Rfam family "Bacterial large subunit ribosomal RNA". RNAcentral also lists the same sequence under 1 other name. The record is from RNAcentral. Lineage: Bacteria; Pseudomonadati; Pseudomonadota; Gammaproteobacteria; Enterobacterales; Enterobacteriaceae.
UUAAGCGACUAAGCGUACACGGUGGAUGCCCUGGCAGUCAGAGGCGAUGAAGGACGUGCUAAUCUGCGAAAAGCGUCGGUAAGGUGAUAUGAACCGUUAUAGCCGGCGAUGUCCGAAUGGGGAAACCCAGUGCAAUUCGUUGCACUAUCGUUUGAUGAAUACAUAGUCAAACGAGGCGAACCGGGGGAACUGAAACAUCUAAGUACCCCGAGGAAAAGAAAUCAACCGAGAUUCCCCCAGUAGCGGCGAGCGAACGGGGAGCAGCCCGGAGUCUGAAUCAGCUUGUGUGUUAGUGGAAGCGUCUGGAAAGUCGCAGGGUACAGGGUGAUACUCCCGUACACUAAAGCACACAGGUUGUGAACUCGAAGAGUAGGGCGGGACACGUGGUAUCCUGUCUGAAUAUGGGGGGACCAUCCUCCAAGGCUAAAUACUCCUGACUGACCGAUAGUGAACCAGUACCGUGAGGGAAAGGCGAAAAGAACCCCGGCGAGGGGAGUGAAAAAGAACCUGAAACCGUGUACGUACAAGCAGUAGGAGCCUCUUUAUGGGGUGACUGCGUACCUUUUGUAUAAUGGGUCAGCGACUUAUAUUCUGUAGCAAGGUUAACCGUAUAGGGGAGCCGCAGGGAAACCGAGUCUUAACUGGGCGUUAAGUUGCAGGGUAUAGACCCGAAACCCGGUGAUCUAGCCAUGGGCAGGUUGAAGGUUGGGUAACACUAACUGGAGGACCGAACCGACUAAUGUUGAAAAAUUAGCGGAUGACUUGUGGCUGGGGGUGAAAGGCCAAUCAAACCGGGAGAUAGCUGGUUCUCCCCGAAAGCUAUUUAGGUAGCGCCUCGUGAAUUCAUCUUCGGGGGUAGAGCACUGUUUCGGCUAGGGGGUCAUCCCGACUUACCAACCCGAUGCAAACUACGAAUACCGAAGAAUGUUAUCACGGGAGACACACGGCGGGUGCUAACGUCCGUCGUGAAGAGGGAAACAACCCAGACCGCCAGCUAAGGUCCCAAAGUCAUGGUUAAGUGGGAAACGAUGUGGGAAGGCCCAGACAGCCAGGAUGUUGGCUUAGAAGCAGCCAUCAUUUAAAGAAAGCGUAAUAGCUCACUGGUCGAGUCGGCCUGCGCGGAAGAUGUAACGGGGCUAAACCAUGCACCGAAGCUGCGGCAGCGACACUAUGUGUUGUUGGGUAGGGGAGCGUUCUGUAAGCCGUUGAAGGUGGCCUGUGAGGGUUGCUGGAGGUAUCAGAAGUGCGAAUGCUGACAUAAGUAACGAUAAUGCGGGUGAAAAACCCGCACGCCGGAAGACCAAGGGUUCCUGUCCAACGUUAAUCGGGGCAGGGUGAGUCGACCCCUAAGGCGAGGCCGAAAGGCGUAGUCGAUGGGAAACAGGUUAAUAUUCCUGUACUCGGUGUUACUGCGAAGGGGGGACGGAGAAGGCUAUGUUGGCCGGGCGACGGUUGUCCCGGUUUAAGCAUGUAGGCGGAUGUUCCAGGUAAAUCCGGAACGUUAUUAACGCUGAGGUGUGAUGACGAGGCACUACGGUGCUGAAGUGACAAAUGCCCUGCUUCCAGGAAAAGCCUCUAAGCAUCAGGUAACAUCAAAUCGUACCCAAACCGACACAGGUGGUCAGGUAGAGAAUACCAAGGCGCUUGAGAGAACUCGGGUGAAGGAACUAGGCAAAAUGGUGCCGUAACUUCGGGAGAAGGCACGCUGAUAGGUAGGUGAAGUGGUUUACCCAUGGAGCUGAAAUCAGUCGAAGAUACCAGCUGGCUGCAACUGUUUAUUAAAAACACAGCACUGUGCAAACACGAAAGUGGACGUAUACGGUGUGACGCCUGCCCGGUGCCGGAAGGUUAAUUGAUGGGGUUAUCCGUAAGGAGAAGCUCUUGAUCGAAGCCCCGGUAAACGGCGGCCGUAACUAUAACGGUCCUAAGGUAGCGAAAUUCCUUGUCGGGUAAGUUCCGACCUGCACGAAUGGCGUAAUGAUGGCCAGGCUGUCUCCACCCGAGACUCAGUGAAAUUGAACUCGCUGUGAAGAUGCAGUGUACCCGCGGCAAGACGGAAAGACCCCGUGAACCUUUACUAUAGCUUGACACUGAACACUGGUCCUUGAUGUGUAGGAUAGGUGGGAGGCUUUGAAGCGUGGACGCCAGUCUGCGUGGAGCCAUCCUUGAAAUACCACCCUUUAAUGGCUGGUGUUCUAACGUGGGCCCGUUAUCCGGGUUGCGGACAGUGUCUGGUGGGUAGUUUGACUGGGGCGGUCUCCUCCUAAAGAGUAACGGAGGAGCACGAAGGUCAGCUAAUCCUGGUCGGACAUCAGGAGGUUAGUGCAAUGGCAUAAGCUGGCUUGACUGCGAGCGUGACGGCGCGAGCAGGUGCGAAAGCAGGUCAUAGUGAUCCGGUGGUUCUGAAUGGAAGGGCCAUCGCUCAACGGAUAAAAGGUACUCCGGGGAUAACAGGCUGAUACCGCCCAAGAGUUCAUAUCGACGGCGGUGUUUGGCACCUCGAUGUCGGCUCAUCACAUCCUGGGGCUGAAGUAGGUCCCAAGGGUAUGGCUGUUCGCCAUUUAAAGUGGUACGCGAGCUGGGUUUAGAACGUCGUGAGACAGUUCGGUCCCUAUCUGCCGUGGGCGCUGGAGAAUUGAGGGGGGCUGCUCCUAGUACGAGAGGACCGGAGUGGACGCAUCACUGGUGUUCGGGUUGUCAUGCCAAUGGCAUUGCCCGGUAGCUAAAUGCGGAAGAGAUAAGUGCUGAAAGCAUCUAAGCACGAAACUUGCCCCGAGAUGAGUUCUCCCUGACUCCUUGAGAGUCCUGAAGGAACGUUGAAGACGACGACGUUGAUAGGCCGGGUGUGUAAGCGCAGCGAUGCGUUGAGCUAACCGGUACUAAUGAACCGUGAGGCUUAACCUU